UGCUUCACUUUAAAGUUAAGCAAUUUAAGGUAUUUGGUCCAAAUAAAAUAUCCCUAUUAUUUUAAAAGCAGAAGCUUCUUAAUAACAUUUAAAAGUAGUCUUUGGGUUACUUUUCAAAGUUUCUUUAAAAAGAAGUAAAGAUGAGCUCUUAAUGAAUUUUUUUAAUUCCCAAAAUACACUCAUUAAUUUUUUUAAAUUGGCAUCCGAAACGUUUCUACUCUG
RNAcentral lists this long non-coding RNA (222 nucleotides) under Prunus persica (peach). RNAcentral's name for it is "long non-coding RNA (PPER_LNC002496)". Lineage: Eukaryota; Viridiplantae; Streptophyta; Magnoliopsida; Rosales; Rosaceae. The record is from RNAcentral.